Long non-coding RNA from Echinops telfairi (small Madagascar hedgehog), 596 nucleotides. RefSeq lists it as uncharacterized. The record is from RefSeq and is a predicted model, not a curated record. NCBI's taxonomy places the organism in Eukaryota, Metazoa, Chordata, Mammalia, Afrosoricida, Tenrecidae. The transcript is spliced from 2 exons.
CCAGGCUCUGGAGUUCCCUUUAGGAGAGAGUUCCUGUGUCUUUUGCCCAGGAUGGAAUCAUCCAGGCAGCACUUAGUGUGUGUAUUCAUUCUUUCAGAACCACCUGGUGCUGGACUGAGUCUGCUACAUCGGCCGAGAAUGGCUUGUAAGAGACCAAGCUGGGACAGAAGGGGAACUGGUUUCAUUAGGAUUAGAACUAAGUCAACCGAAGCCAUUUAAAGUGUCCGAUGUUGGAUGUGUCCAAGGCUAAAACAUACGGCCUCGAAAGCCUAAGACUUGGGAACUGGACAUUGGCAAAGUUGGGGGAAGGGUUGGGGAGUUUAACGGAUAAGGACACAAUCCCAUGUUCGUUGUCUUCAUUUAAUAUCAGUGAUUUCAUGACUGAUCGAGUAAAUGGCAAGGUCUCACAGGCUCCGUACUGUGCUCAAACAUAGAUAUUUCAAUCCUUGGAGGCAGCUUGAGCACCUUCUCCUGUGAAGUUGUAUCGCUCUCUUGAGUACACUGCAGACAGUUGGGGAGAAAAUAGGAUGGAAAAUAAGCUGGGAUGAGAAAUAAGAAAUGUAUUGACUUUAUCAAAUAAACAAAUUAGAGAAAUA